UCCGUAGGUGAACCUGCGGAAGGAUCAUUACAAGUAAUAAGUACCCAGUACCUAUUAUAAACCCAUCCGUGUAUCUUACCCGUUGCUUCCGUGGCGCGGCGCACCGCCCUGGCGGGGCUCCCCCACGGGAGGUACAAACCAAAAACAUUGCAUUGCCAUGAUAUCUGUCUGAAAUGAAAACAACAAAAGUUAAAACUUUCAACAACGGAUCUCUUGGUUCUCGCAUCGAUGAAGAACGCAGCGAAAUGCGAUAAGUAGUGUGAAUUGCAGAAUUCAGUGAAUCAUCGAAUCUUUGAACGCACAUUGCGCCUCCUGGUAUUCCGGGAGGCAUGCCUGUUCGAGCGUCAUCAAGAAAACCUCAAGCGUAUUUUUCGCUUGGUCUUGGAGCGUGAGGUGCCGCUGGCGCGGCCCUCUGCUUCGAAAUGCAAUGGCGGAAAGUCUAAGGUGCCCCGGCGUAGUAAGUUCAUCUUUCGCUCGGUCCCGUAGGCGUUCCCGCCCUCAAAUCCCCACUAUUUUAAGUUGACCUCGGAUCAGGUAGGGAUACCCGCUGAACUUAAGCAUAUCAAUAAGCGGAGGA
Molecule: ribosomal RNA, 577 nt
Filed under: Scutellinia sp. YZ-2012
Lineage: Eukaryota; Fungi; Ascomycota; Pezizomycetes; Pezizales; Pyronemataceae
Description: eukaryotic LSU rRNA
Rfam family: 5.8S ribosomal RNA (bases 194-347)
Source: RNAcentral